CUGUAAGCCAUUGCAAACUUGACAUUUAGUUGGAUGCCUGACUUGUUUUUAGUUCUAUGAAACUACACUGUAUGGAGAAAAUCUAUUGCAAGUGGUCUUUAAAAAGCAAAACCUGAGGCAGCAUGACCCAGGUCCAGCCAUGAAGUUGAAAAAGAUGCUCUUGAAUAUAGUAAACUUGAAGACCUCCAACUAAAAAUCCUUAUACUGCACUUAUUCCUUCA
RNAcentral lists this long non-coding RNA (221 nucleotides) under Homo sapiens (human). RNAcentral's name for it is "long non-coding RNA NONHSAT223595". Lineage: Eukaryota; Metazoa; Chordata; Mammalia; Primates; Hominidae. The record is from RNAcentral.